CCUACGGGUGGCUGCAGUGGGGAAUAUUGGACAAUGGGGGGAACCCUGAUCCAGCCAUGCCGCGUGUGUGAAGAAGGCCCUCGGGUUGUAAAGCACUUUCAGUGAGGAAGAACGCCUGGUGGUUAAUACCCAUCAGGAAAGACAUCACUCACAGAAGAAGCACCGGCUAACUCCGUGCCAGCAGCCGCGGUAAUACGGAGGGUGCGAGCGUUAAUCGGAAUUACUGGGCGUAAAGCGCGCGUAGGUGGCUUGAUAAGCCGGUUGUGAAAGCCCCGGGCUCAACCUGGGAACGGCAUCCGGAACUGUCAAGCUAGAGUGCAGGAGAGGAAGGUAAAAUUCCCGGUGUAGCGGUGAAAUGCGUAGAGAUCGGGAGGAAUACCAGUGGCGAAGGCGGCCUUCUGGACUGACACUGACACUGAGGUGCGAAAGCGUGGGUAGCAAACAGGAUUAGAUACCCCUGUAGUC
This 465-nucleotide ribosomal RNA is filed under the name Vreelandella stevensii. RNAcentral describes it as "partial 16S ribosomal RNA". It matches the Rfam family "Bacterial small subunit ribosomal RNA", at positions 338 to 795 of the family's 1533-position model. The record is from RNAcentral. Lineage: Bacteria; Pseudomonadati; Pseudomonadota; Gammaproteobacteria; Oceanospirillales; Halomonadaceae.